RNAcentral lists this long non-coding RNA (390 nucleotides) under Phoenix dactylifera (date palm). Its description in RNAcentral is "long non-coding RNA (PDAC_LNC010100)". Lineage: Eukaryota; Viridiplantae; Streptophyta; Magnoliopsida; Arecales; Arecaceae. The record is from RNAcentral.
CUUCACAAUUGGUUUUACGGGUUCACCAAUAAACCUACACCAUUGGUUUUGCGGGCUCACCAACAAACCUUUACAAGGUGAUUAACAAAAGAAAGAAGAAAGUUGAAGCUCCUAGAUGAGCAAAUAUAAUAAUUAUAAGCUACAAAGAAGAGUUUAGAAUAUAGUUAUCGCUUGAUGAAACUUCUCUCUUCUUUGUCAAGAAUGCUUUACUCUUCAAGGGUGGAUGGAGCUCUUAAUAUCUCUUGAAAUCUGCUCAACCACUUUCUUUUGACUCUUUGAAUGAAGCACUUGGAUGGAGAAGAUUAGGGCACUUGUCUUUCUUGUGUAAGCUUUGAUAUUUUGCAAAAGGAUGUUUUCUCUGAUGAAUAGUAUCCCUUUAAAUAGUUUUCC